Long non-coding RNA from Mauremys reevesii (Reeves's turtle), 2886 nucleotides. RefSeq lists it as uncharacterized. The transcript is spliced from 3 exons. Lineage: Eukaryota; Metazoa; Chordata; Testudines; Geoemydidae. The record is from RefSeq and is a predicted model, not a curated record.
GAGCUGUAGGAGCUUAGGUGGUGUGUGGCUGGCUCAUGGAAUUACAGAACCCUGGACAGGGCAGUGCUGCUGGAAGCUGGGGAGAGUGAGAAGGAGCCAUGAGCUGGUUGCUGGGACUCCAUUAGGACAAGGCCCUGAGAAGUGCCUAGAGGCUCCACCAUGCUGGGAGCUGCACAUAUACAAAGUAAGAAACAACUCCAACCUCAGAACGCUCACAUUCUAAACAACCAACCAGACAUAGGAUGGGAGUGGAACAAGAGGUCCAAAAGAGGUGAAGUGAACUUGCCCAAGGCCAGUUCCCAAGAUUUCACUCACACACGACUUCCUGUGCCAGCCAGAGAGAAUGAGCCUGGAGAAGAGACAAGAUAAAUUAAAACCAGGGCCAAAAGGAAAAAGGAUUUGCCAGUGUCUUGUUCUCAUUAUUCACUACGGUCCAAACACCUAGGCAAAUGUUCGGCCUGAGUAGCUGAGUAUCUCCACAGCCGGGUGAGUUGAAAGGAAUCCUCUCUGUUAUGCUACUGAGCUUGUCUGGAGCUGUCUAACAGAGGAACUCUACAUGGGGCUUAAGUCAACCUGCAACUUGAGAGGAGAGCACAAUGAGUUGGCCUGCUUGGCAGAUGGUCUUUGCCAAGAGCACAUGGCAUCUGUGCUCUGAGAUCUGCACUGGCUGCCUCUUAUUCUCAAGUGGACUUUAAGACAUCAGUGUUUAACCUAUAGAGCCCUCAUUGGAUUAGGUUCUACUUUGUUAAAAAUCUGACUCUCCCCCGUGCAAGACGGCCUCAGGCAUGCUCAGCAGGGAAGCCGGGCCUGCACCCCGCCAUUUCAUAAUCAAGAGGGCACUGCCUGCCAAGCAUUCUCUGCAAGAGGCCCUCGACUUUGGAACCAACUCCCCUGCCCAGUUAACCUGAAAGCUGUUGUCUUUCAGAGCUCUGCCCAGGCCUCUCUCUUUUCCCAUGUUUCUGGGGAGCGAGGGCUUGAAAUAAGGGUUGGUGUUUGUGAUAACGGGGGGACUUGAUUGGGUUUUGAUUCUAGCUUUGGUUUAAUAUUUUCUGGUUUGGGGAAAGGAGCAGGCCGCAGCUUCGGGCUCUUUAAUGGGACUCGUUUUAAUUGAUGGCAAAGAUGCCUAGAGCCUAGGAUCAGUGCCUUUGGGGGGGAGGAGGAGGAGGGGUAGAACAAAGAGGAAUAAUGUACCAGCCUAAGUUAUAUGAUGGGGGGCCUUGGAAAUUAACAACAGAAGGUCUUCAUAAUACUGAAUGCCUAGUUCCUGCCCAUCCCUGGUGCACUGCUGCAGAGUGGUGGUACACACCAUGUCAGUGGCUGCACGCACACCCCCCAUCUGCCGUCCCCCUCACUUAAAUUCUGGUCCCUUGCACAACCAAGCUACACUGAUUCUACUGCCAGCUAUGCAGGAAUGCAGCCAAUGGCCAGGUCCUUCUGAGCUGUGCAGGCAUCCAGUUGCACUUGUGUGUGUGUACGUUUUAACACGUGCAGUUCUGAAAAUCUUGACCAUAAGCUAUUCCUAGCUGGGCAAGUCUUCAGGUGUGCAGCCUGGAUGCCUUUGCCAGUUGCACUACUUUGAACUUCAGCGAGCUCAAUGGAUACAAAGAUGAAACUAUAAGCUGAUCUCAAAUGGCACAUUAUAUCCACUGCAACCAAAGAUACCGGCCUAAUAAUGGGCUAUUGAUUACUUGCUCAGCAGAGUUCUUGUGAACAGAAGCUCACUCCAAGGAUUUGUGUUUCCACCUCCAAGAAGUCAGCAAUAAGAUGGGGUGUGAAAUAGAAACGUAGCUAUGAUUCGUGCCUGGCCCUGGCACAACCCUGCACAUAUCUGCAUUGUAAUCCGUGACCCACACUCCUAAAUGAGAGAGAAAAAUUAACAUUUCAGACAAAUCCAUGAGAGAACUGCACUUGUGGCUGAUUUUGUGGUAUGUGGAGGGAUGAGUGCUAGUUACUUUUGCCUUUCUAAUGCAGCUGAUGAGGAUUGAGAUAGAGAGCAAUUAUCACACUUGUUUACACUCCAGAGCUAAAAUCCAGCAAAAAUGAGUGACAUAGAAGCAGAAUAGAGGAGACACAAACAGUUACGUCACACCCUUCCCUCCUAACGUUUUUAAAGCAUGCAGUGCAUUAGCUGUGUGAUUCCCAUUAAAAUCAACAGGGGUUGGGCAUCUAAAACCAUGCAGAUUUUGAGCAUAUUUAACCACUUAUGCAAAAGAAAACCAACAAACCCCUGUUCUUUGAAUGCAUCCGCAUACAUGGGCACAAACGAUUUUGCUCCCUCUGAAUUUCAUAACACGCAAAUUAAACUCUCUGGAAGAUGUGCAUAAGAUAAAUAUAGAGAAGAGAGCAUCUCAGCUAAUUAAACUAUUGGCAAGGUGAACUGCUGAAAGUUUAAUUAGCUGACUUCUGUGCAUCUCUCCGGAUGUUCCUGCUGCAAGGGGGUUUAAUAUAAAAUCAGCUUGAAUUGGAUCUGAUUUUUUGAUAUAUGGCAAUGCAAUGAGAUGACCAGUCUUCUACCUUUUACUAGGAAAGGCAUGUGGUCACAAGCAGCAAAAGAGAUAAUGUGGUCAUUCUGUCAGACCUCGGGGUGGAGGGGAAAAUUCUGAGUGUGCAUGAUUUUACAUAACAGAUACCAGGUUAAACCCUGGAGCUGGUUUCAUCGGUCAUCCAGGAACGUUCAGCCGAGUAAUCCAAAUGCUCAUUUAGCUCCAGAUUCCAAUGCCAGUUUAACGGAGAGCGUGGCUUGUGUGGCGACAAUAAUGGACUGGUCCAUUGGUAAUGACCCUAAGUAAAACAAAUACACAUGAAUAAAAUAAAACAAAACCCAAACAGAUUUUGCUUGGGGCACGUUGAACUUCUCUGGCUCGUGUUACGAGGGAGGUCAGACUA